Molecule: ribosomal RNA, 497 nt
Filed under: uncultured bacterium
Lineage: Bacteria
Description: partial 16S ribosomal RNA
Rfam family: Bacterial small subunit ribosomal RNA
Source: RNAcentral
GAUGAACGCUGGCGGCGUGCCUAAUACAUGCAAGUCGAGCGAACAGACGAGGAGCUUGCUCCUCUGACGUUAGCGGCGGACGGGUGAGUAACACGUGGAUGACCUACCUAUAAGACUGGGAUAACUUCGGGAAACCGGAGCUAAUACCGGAUAAUAUAUUGAACCGCAUGGUUCAAUAGUGAAAGACGGUUUUGCUGUCACUUAUAGAUGGAUCCGCGCCGCAUUAGCUAGUCGGUAAGGUAACGGCUUACCAAGGCAACGAUGCGUAGCCGACCUGAGAGGGUGAUCGGCCACACUGGAACUGAGACACGGUCCAGACUCCUACGGGAGGCAGCAGUAGGGAAUCUUCCGCAAUGGGCGAAAGCCUGACGGAGCAACGCCGCGUGAGUGAUGAAGGUCUUCGGAUCGUAAAACUCUGUUAUUAGGGAAGAACAAAUGUGUAAGUAACUAUGCACGUCUUGACGGUACCUAAUCAGAAAGCCACGGCUAACUACGUG